Molecule: ribosomal RNA, 2086 nt
Filed under: Salmonella enterica
Lineage: Bacteria; Pseudomonadati; Pseudomonadota; Gammaproteobacteria; Enterobacterales; Enterobacteriaceae
Also listed under: 1 other name
Description: partial 23S ribosomal RNA
Rfam family: Bacterial large subunit ribosomal RNA
Source: RNAcentral
CAUGGGCAGGUUGAAGGUUGGGUAACACUAACUGGAGGACCGAACCGACUAAUGUUGAAAAAUUAGCGGAUGACCUGUGGCUGGGGGUGAAAGGCCAAUCAAACCGGGAGAUAGCUGGUUCUCCCCGAAAGCUAUUUAGGUAGCGCCUCGUGAAUUCAUCUCCGGGGGUAGAGCACUGUUUCGGCUAGGGGGCCAUCCCGGCUUACCAACCCGAUGCAAACUGCGAAUACCGGAGAAUGUUAUCACGGGAGACACACGGCGGGUGCUAACGUCCGUCGUGAAGAGGGAAACAACCCAGACCGCCAGCUAAGGUCCCAAAGUCAUGGUUAAGUGGGAAACGAUGUGGGAAGGCCCAGACAGCCAGGAUGUUGGCUUAGAAGCAGCCAUCAUUUAAAGAAAGCGUAAUAGCUCACUGGUCGAGUCGGCCUGCGCGGAAGAUGUAACGGGGCUAAACCAUGCACCGAAGCUGCGGCAGCGACACUGUGUGUUGUUGGGUAGGGGAGCGUUCUGUAAGCCUGUGAAGGUGUGUCGUGAGGCAUGCUGGAGGUAUCAGAAGUGCGAAUGCUGACAUAAGUAACGAUAAAGCGGGUGAAAAGCCCGCUCGCCGGAAGACCAAGGGUUCCUGUCCAACGUUAAUCGGGGCAGGGUGAGUCGACCCCUAAGGCGAGGCCGAAAGGCGUAGUCGAUGGGAAACGGGUUAAUAUUCCCGUACUUGGUGUUACUGCGAAGGGGGGACGGAGAAGGCUAUGUUGGCCGGGCGACGGUUGUCCCGGUUUAAGCGUGUAGGUGUGUGUUCCAGGUAAAUCCGGUUCACUUUAACACUGAGGCGUGACGACGAGGCACUACGGUGCUGAAGCAACAAAUGCCCUGCUUCCAGGAAAAGCCUCUAAGCAUCAGGUAACAUCAAAUCGUACCCCAAACCGACACAGGUGGUCAGGUAGAGAAUACCAAGGCGCUUGAGAGAACUCGGGUGAAGGAACUAGGCAAAAUGGUGCCGUAACUUCGGGAGAAGGCACGCUGACACGUAGGUGAAGUGAUUUACUCAUGGAGCUGAAGUCAGUCGAAGAUACCAGCUGGCUGCAACUGUUUAUUAAAAACACAGCACUGUGCAAACACGAAAGUGGACGUAUACGGUGUGACGCCUGCCCGGUGCCGGAAGGUUAAUUGAUGGGGUCAGCGCAAGCGAAGCUCCUGAUCGAAGCCCCGGUAAACGGCGGCCGUAACUAUAACGGUCCUAAGGUAGCGAAAUUCCUUGUCGGGUAAGUUCCGACCUGCACGAAUGGCGUAAUGAUGGCCAGGCUGUCUCCACCCGAGACUCAGUGAAAUUGAACUCGCUGUGAAGAUGCAGUGUACCCGCGGCAAGACGGAAAGACCCCGUGAACCUUUACUAUAGCUUGACACUGAACAUUGAGCCUUGAUGUGUAGGAUAGGUGGGAGGCUUUGAAGUGUGGACGCCAGUCUGCAUGGAGCCGACCUUGAAAUACCACCCUUUAAUGUUUGAUGUUCUAACGUGGACCCGUUACCCGGGUUGCGGACAGUGUCUGGUGGGUAGUUUGACUGGGGCGGUCUCCUCCUAAAGAGUAACGGAGGAGCACGAAGGUUGGCUAAUCCUGGUCGGACAUCAGGAGGUUAGUGCAAUGGCAUAAGCCAGCUUGACUGCGAGCGUGACGGCGCGAGCAGGUGCGAAAGCAGGUCAUAGUGAUCCGGUGGUUCUGAAUGGAAGGGCCAUCGCUCAACGGAUAAAAGGUACUCCGGGGAUAACAGGCUGAUACCGCCCAAGAGUUCAUAUCGACGGCGGUGUUUGGCACCUCGAUGUCGGCUCAUCACAUCCUGGGGCUGAAGUAGGUCCCAAGGGUAUGGCUGUUCGCCAUUUAAAGUGGUACGCGAGCUGGGUUUAGAACGUCGUGAGACAGUUCGGUCCCUAUCUGCCGUGGGCGCUGGAGAACUGAGGGGGGCUGCUCCUAGUACGAGAGGACCGGAGUGGACGCAUCACUGGUGUUCGGGUUGUCAUGCCAAUGGCACUGCCCGGUAGCUAAAUGCGGAAGAGAUAAGUGCUGAAAGCAUCUAAGCACGAAACUUGCCCCGA